GCUGGGGUUAAAGCCCUUGGCUGCUAACCAAAGGGUUGGUGGUUCGAUUCCACC
RNAcentral lists this transfer RNA (54 nucleotides) under Loxodonta africana (African savanna elephant). The record is from Rfam by way of RNAcentral. Lineage: Eukaryota; Metazoa; Chordata; Mammalia; Proboscidea; Elephantidae.